Molecule: long non-coding RNA, 1337 nt
Filed under: Gossypium barbadense (sea-island cotton)
Lineage: Eukaryota; Viridiplantae; Streptophyta; Magnoliopsida; Malvales; Malvaceae
Description: long non-coding RNA (GBAR_LNC008181)
Source: RNAcentral
AUAAAUCUCCCUUUUAAAGAGAAUGCACAAACCCCCCACUACACCAAACGUCUCAUUUCAUCAUCAUCAUUUAAACCAAAACCCUUUUUUUAUUUAUUUCAUUUUUAGCCCUUUUUUUUUUUAAGAAAACAGAAAGCUUUUUGCUUUCUCUCCUUCCCCUUGUCUCCCCCAUUUCUCUCUUUUUGGCUAGGGCUUCAUAUACCCAUCAUCGACGCCGUUCGACUGUCGCACCACCACCGUAUUCAGUGGCCGGCGAUGCGCCAAAAUGGGCCUUUAGCCUCGUCUUGAAACACCCUAGAGAAACCAGCCCUCAAAACCCGAAAAAAAAGAGUUGAAUAGAGAUGGUUCUCAACCCCUUCGGGGUUCGAUUUUGACAACGGAGGUGGACCCUCCGGCGUUGCAACCGUGGGGAACCGGUGAGUCUCUUCUUCUCCCUUUUUGUUUAUGUUUCUAUUUAAAAUCGUUUUUGAUAAAGAAUUGAAAAAUAAAAAGAAAAUCGAAAGAAAACAAGAAAAGUAAAUCGAAAUCAACCUUUGCCUUUGCUUCUAUUCUGCUUUUUUUUUAUUUUUUAUGUUCCUAACCGUUUACAAAGAAAAGAUAUUGGCUUUUAAAGCCAAUCUAAAAACUGUUGGUUUCAUGGUUUUUGUUAUUUUGCCAUUUAUUUCUCUGUCGAUCGCGUGCUUUCUUGCUGCUAUUUUUUGAUUUGGUUGCAGGUGUUGCGACGCGUGGAAGGGGCAAUGGUCAGGGGCGUGGUGGCCGAGGGGAGGCCAAAAGUCGAGGGGGAGUGGCGGCUGAACUUUGGUGGCUAGGGUUAGGGUGGCUGCUGAAAAAAAUUAAAGAUAAUGGGCUAGGGUUUAGUUUAUUUCGGGCAUGGUAAUUGGGUUUGAGUUUGGGUCUGAUUUAUUAUUUGGACUUUUAAAUUUGUUUAUUUGGGAUUUAUUUUUGUAAUUGGGUCAGACCAAAAUUGGCUAUUACAAAUAUGAACAAUUUAUUAUCUCAUCAAUUGUAUAUAUCUAUACUUACUAUUAUUUAAGCUCCUCUUUGAGUUGGUGUCACCCUCAACCGAGUCACCAACUUGGUUAGGGAAAUUACAAGAAUACCCUUUCAUAAUUAUAAUAAAUUAUAUUAUUUAAGGGUAUCUUAGUCUUUUUAUUUAAAAAACCAAUAAAAAACACGCAUAUGAUGAGAUUUGAACUUAAACCAACUGCAUUAAUAAAACAUUUAAUUUACCGUUGAGUUAAAGCUUUAUUUUAAUAUUUUUUAUACAUUUUAAUUUAAUUAUGCACAUUUUAUUAUUUCCAUCAUAAUGUAUUUGAUUGAGCUGAUGUCACAAGUUA